This 402-nucleotide ribosomal RNA is filed under the name Triticum aestivum (bread wheat). RNAcentral describes it as "partial small subunit ribosomal RNA". The record is from RNAcentral. Lineage: Eukaryota; Viridiplantae; Streptophyta; Magnoliopsida; Poales; Poaceae.
AUGCUUCAGAAUCUCUCCAAGCUGGUACUACGGGAGAGCUACUUGAGUCAAGAUGGUGAUGCCAUACAAGCCCUUGGGUUCCUACCAAAUAUUGCAGUCCUACGCCUCUGGGAGGCGUUCACGGGGAUAGAUCUCCAAUUCCAGAGCUCAUCUUUCCCUAGUCUCGUGGAGCUACAACUCUCACGAUUAUACAACCUCGAGUCGGUGUUGUUUGAAGAAGGCACAAUGCCUAAGCUCGAGCUGCUACAAGUUGAUUUUUGCGUCCGCCUGAAUGGAUUCUCCGGGCUGCCAGCGGUCCUCACAAGCCUCAAGGAAAUUCGGUUGUCUAAUAGCAAACUCAAGAAAGACAUGGAGAGGCAGGUGGAGCAUAUGAAGCACGUGAGAGUUGUUAGAUGUGUAUAG